ACAAGGAAGAAAAUGCAAAUCGGCACAGAUUAUUUUGCCUCAGUGACCCUGCCACUUUCAUAGCCAGAGGGAUGCUCUGAUUAUAAAGAAGCAAUUUGGAGCCGCAGGAGGGUCAAGCUGGCCAUUGUGUAGGUGUUGAAGAGGGCUGCUGACCAAGCUGGUGCAGGGACUAUCUGGCCUUCUUCCGUGCCUGUCUUCAUCCAGCCAAGGCCCCCGUCAUGCUGUACACCUGAGAUCUGUAGCUUCUGAGGUCAGAGGACGACCUCUGGGAGUCUGUUCUUGCUCUUUGCUUAAUCACAAGAAAAACAUGAGACAAAUUCCAACAGAAGGGCAUCUUACAUCAUCAAAAUUAACAAUCACUAGGAACAAAGAACAUCUGAGAGAUAGGCACAGUCAACAGGAGCCUAAGGACACAUUCGACUGAAUGUGAUAGGAGCCUAAGGACCCUGCUUAAGAUCCUGGAGCAGCAA
Mesocricetus auratus (golden hamster) is the source of this 470-nucleotide long non-coding RNA. RefSeq lists it as uncharacterized. The transcript has 3 exons. The record is from RefSeq and is a predicted model, not a curated record. Lineage: Eukaryota; Metazoa; Chordata; Mammalia; Rodentia; Cricetidae.